UCCCGGUGCCGCCGCGGGCCGGGGAUGGACGGGCAGGUACCGGCAGGAACGGGCGGACACAGAGCGCACACCGCCCCUGAGCACGGCCGGGGACCGCCCCGGUGCCCCCGCGCCGCCUCAGCCGCUCAGGUCAUCCCAACAUGGAUUCCCUCACCAAGGCAAUGACAUCUUCCUUCCAGUCAAACACUUCCCACCUAACAAGGAACAAGGAAUUUCUGCCAGAUUUAUUCCAGAAUCUGCAGCCUCAGCCACACAAAGGCACCAGGGAAGCAAAGAAAACUCCUUCCAGGCAUUGUCUCCAUGAGAACAAGGGGACAAUCAGGAAGCAGCUCGUGUUGGAGUGACUCUGACAGGGACAGAAGUGUGUCCAGGUUUCUGCAGCCCUGAGUCCCUUCCAGGACAAGGUUUAACUCGUUCUGACUCUCAGGGCAUCAGGGAGACUCUGAGCUGUGUUAUCCUGCCCUGGGGUAUCCAACAGCCCUGACAUUCCAAAGGAACAGAGCAGCUGAUGGAUGGGAAAUACACCCUGCUGCAUCCUCACCUGUUUGCAGAGUUGGGAACAGCAGGAGGGAGCACCUGCAAUGCAAAGAAAUGCAUCUGUGAGUUUGUGUGCUAGAGAGGCUGGGGAGGCAACUGGGGCACACUUUAAACAUCAUUUCCCUCCUCCUGAGCCAUCCGUUUCCCCACACAGUUAAACCCAAACAUCUGUUUCUUAGAUUAAAUGAAAUUUAAUGUAAAGAACUUCCCCCAAUUCCCUGUUUUUGACAAGCUGAGGCAGUGGUUUCUGAGGCAGGGAAUGCUGAGGAGCUCUGGAGGACACUGGACAGAGGACAGUGAGGGGAUGUCCCCCCCCCACGGGGAUGAGAUGGCCACAUUUGGCUAUAAUUUAUCUCCUCCUGCUA
This is a long non-coding RNA of Passer montanus (Eurasian tree sparrow), 902 nucleotides long. RefSeq lists it as uncharacterized. The transcript is spliced from 3 exons. NCBI's taxonomy places the organism in Eukaryota, Metazoa, Chordata, Aves, Passeriformes, Passeridae. The record is from RefSeq and is a predicted model, not a curated record.